CGUUUACCGUGAAAAAAUUAGAGUGUUCAAAGCAGGCAGAUCCAAUUUUCUGCCACCGAAUACAUUAGCAUGGGAUAAUGGAAUAGGACCCUGUCCUCCUAUUUUCAGUUGGUUUUGGCAGCGCGAGGACUAGGGUAAUGAUUAAUAGGGAUAGUUGGGGGCAUUAAUAUUUAAUUGUCAGAGGUGAAAUUCUUGGAUUUAUGAAAGAUUAACUUCUGCGAAAGCAUCUGCCAAGGAUGUUUUCAUUAAUCAAGAACGAAAGUUAGGGGAUCGAAGACGAUCAGAUACCGUCGUAGUCUUAACCAUAAACGAUGCCGACCAGCGAUUAGGAGACGUUGAAUACAAAACACCACCAUCGGCGCGGUCGUCCUUGGCGUCGGUCCUU
This 385-nucleotide ribosomal RNA is filed under the name Acanthamoeba sp. RNAcentral describes it as "SSU rRNA". It matches the Rfam family "Eukaryotic small subunit ribosomal RNA", at positions 749 to 1082 of the family's 1831-position model. The record is from RNAcentral. Lineage: Eukaryota; Discosea; Longamoebia; Acanthamoebidae.